This is a long non-coding RNA of Neopsephotus bourkii (Bourke's parrot), 403 nucleotides long. RefSeq lists it as uncharacterized. Lineage: Eukaryota; Metazoa; Chordata; Aves; Psittaciformes; Psittacidae. The record is from RefSeq and is a predicted model, not a curated record. The transcript is spliced from 3 exons.
GUUUCUUUGCUCUCUGUUGUAAGUGUUCCUGUUUGAAGCUCUUGUGCUGUGGUUUGUACAAGGAUCCCACCCAGGCUGGAUGCUUGCGGGUAUGCUCUCAAAUUGCCAGAGCCUGGGCAUGGCACUUUGUUACUCCGUUGAGACAUUCGGGUGAAUUUGGCUAACUGUCCUGCUUCUGGAGAGCAGUGUCCCAUCUGCAAAGCCGUGUGCACAGCGCAUCCCUCAUCUGGAGCUCUGCAAAACCCUGCAAGGAGCUGCAUGAAAGCAAACUGGAAAGGCCUGUUUGUGCCUCUUGUAUUGUGGAUGUUCCAAAAGGAUGAAGACUGAACCCUGUAUUCCAGAUAUGACCCCAAAAGCACUGAGUGGGACAACGACAUCUUUAUCUCUUCUGGUGAUACCUUUA